CCUACGGGAGGCAGCAGUGAGGAAUAUUGGUCAAUGGACGCAAGUCUGAACCAGCCAUGCCGCGUGCAGGAAGACGGCUCUAUGAGUUGUAAACUGCUUUUGUACGAGGGUAAACGCAGAUACGCGUAUCUGUCUGAAAGUAUCGUACGAAUAAGGAUCGGCUAACUCCGUGCCAGCAGCCGCGGUAAUACGGAGGAUUCAAGCGUUAUCCGGAUUUAUUGGGUUUAAAGGGUGCGUAGGCGGUCGGAUAAGUUAGAGGUGAAAUCCCGAGGCUCAACUUCGGAAUUGCCUCUGAUACUGUUCGGCUAGAGAGUAGUUGCGGUAGGCGGAAUGUAUGGUGUAGCGGUGAAAUGCUUAGAGAUCAUACAGAACACCGAUUGCGAAGGCAGCUUACCGGCGCCCAACUGACGCUGAAGCACGAAAGCGUGGGUAUCGAACAGGAUUAGAUACCCCUGUAGUC
RNAcentral lists this ribosomal RNA (460 nucleotides) under uncultured bacterium. Its description in RNAcentral is "partial 16S ribosomal RNA". It matches the Rfam family "Bacterial small subunit ribosomal RNA", at positions 338 to 795 of the family's 1533-position model. The record is from RNAcentral.